RNAcentral lists this transfer RNA (67 nucleotides) under Camelus bactrianus (Bactrian camel). It matches the Rfam family "tRNA". From Rfam's summary of the family: Transfer RNA (tRNA) molecules are approximately 80 nucleotides in length. Lineage: Eukaryota; Metazoa; Chordata; Mammalia; Artiodactyla; Camelidae. The record is from Rfam by way of RNAcentral. RNAcentral also lists the same sequence under 2 other names.
GGAGGCUCAGCGGUAGAGCGCGUGCUUGGCACGCGUGAGGUCCUGGGUUCAAUCCUCAGUACCUCCU